Molecule: unclassified non-coding RNA, 239 nt
Filed under: Glomeraceae sp.
Lineage: Eukaryota; Fungi; Glomeromycota; Glomeromycetes; Glomerales; Glomeraceae
Description: partial internal transcribed spacer 2
Source: RNAcentral
GUGAAUCAUCGAAUCUUUGAACGCAAAUUGCACUCUCCUCGGAUAGAAUGCCUGUUUGAGGUUCGGCCUAUAAAAAAUCGACAUCGUUUCUGUUCCGCGGUGACGUUCGUCGGAAAUUGGGUUAUCUUAAACCUUUUGGUUUAAGCGACUUAAAAUUUUCCUUUUGAUGCCAUGAACGUUUCUAAGAUUUAUUUCUUAACACGGUAAAGUAAUCGAUUUUUUUUACACUUUUCAGCUAG